Molecule: ribosomal RNA, 385 nt
Filed under: uncultured bacterium
Lineage: Bacteria
Description: bacterial SSU rRNA
Rfam family: Bacterial small subunit ribosomal RNA
Source: RNAcentral
GACGAACGCUGGCGGCGUGCCUAAUGCAUGCAAGUCGCACGGGCUGCCUUCGGGCAGCUAGUGGCGCACGGCUGAGGAACACGUGGGAACCUGCCCGACCGUGGGGGACAACACCGCGAAAGCGGUGCUAAUCCCGCAUACGCUCCGCGGAGGAAAGCGCUUCGGCGCGCGGUCGGAGGGGCCUGCGUCCCAUCAGGUAGUUGGCGGGGUAACGGCCCACCAAGCCGACGACGGGUAGCUGGUCUGGGAGGAUGACCAGCCAGACUGGGACUGAGACACGGCCCAGACUCCUACGGGAGGCAGCAGUAGGGAAUCUUCCACAAUGGGCGCAAGCCUGAUGGAGCGACGCCGCGUGAGUGAGGAAGGCCUUCGGGUCGUAAAGCUC